RNAcentral lists this long non-coding RNA (1386 nucleotides) under Homo sapiens (human). Its description in RNAcentral is "HSALNT0296724". The record is from RNAcentral. Lineage: Eukaryota; Metazoa; Chordata; Mammalia; Primates; Hominidae.
GGGGCACACCAACGUUUAGAGAUUUGGAAGAGGAGAGCUGUCAGAGGACACUGAGAAGUGGCAGUGACGUUGGAAGAAAAUAAGAAUGCUGUGUUUCUGGAGUCAAGUUAAAACUCCAUUUUAAAGAUGGAGUGGUCACCUGUAUCAGAUGUCCCCAGGAGGCCAAGGAAGAUUAAAUGAAAUGAAGACACUGAGCUCUGCAAGUACACUGCUUUUUGAAUCCCAGAGGGGAUGAUGUAGCAAGAAGGACCUCACCAGAUGCUGGCACCUUGAUGUUAGACUUCCCAGUCUCCACAAUGUGAACUUGCUUGUCAAAUGCCUCUUUAAAAAGAAAGUGAAGAUAACUGCAAGUCAGCUGGAAGUGCUGCCAAGAUAUGACCUCCAGGAAGGCCCAGAAGACAAGUGAUAUUGUGUGGACUGCUACAGCGCAAUGUCUAACUGAUGCAAAAUGAAGAAUCAAUUUGAAAUUAAGAUGAGUAAAGGCAUCCAGCACUUACAGCAAAAAACAUUGUCAUCAGGCCCUGGGGAGAUGAGGACACCUCCCUUCCCUUCUCAGGCUCCCUUUCCCUGUCAGACUCUAGCUCUCAAAGGCUGUCAUCCUCCAAGGGUAUUCCCUACGUACUGCAUAGCAUCUCUGUUACCCUUUGAAUUCAACAGUAUUCAUCUCCUCCAACAUUCAUUCAUUCCUUUAGUCAAAAGUCAGUUGUCAAACACAAGGCACAAGUGCACAUUUAAGGAAUUCAUGGCCAAUAUUUGUCAUGUCAUUUCAUGAAUUGUCUGAGAAACAUAAAACAUACAAUGAGGAUACUGAUCCAAGAUACAUGGCACACAAUUAAAUUGCGAAAAACAUGACUCUGAGUCCAAAAGUUCUUAUUUUUUCACAGUCUUCAGAGUAUUGUAUAGACCCCUUGAAAAAUAAAUUUGCAGAGUGUGAAUGUUAAUUACUGUCACCUUCAGAAAAGAGAUUUUACACAUGUAUAAAAGAGAAAUAGUGACUAUUCUAGAUUAUAGAGCACAGAAAGAAUUCUCAAACUAGUAUAACCCUAUUUCUCUAUAUCACAAAGACAUCUUGUAGGCAUGUUCCUCUGAAGGACUUGAGAAUUAUGCUUUUUUUCCUCCUUGUCUCUCUAAAAGCAAAAAGCACAGUAAUCUCGCUGAAGUAUAAUCAAAACAGAGCCUGAUGUGAAACCAGAGCCUUGAGUUUUCAUCCUGCAUUUGUUACUUAAAAGCUGACAUAAGAAAAAUUAUUUAACUUCUCUUAACCUCAGUUUCUUAUCUAUAAAAUGGGAUUAUAAAAUGUAUCUCACAAGGUAGUUAUGAGGAUUAAAGGAAAUGAAAAAAUGCUUAUUUGGUUUUGAAUCCUGGUUUGGUCUAGCUAUCAAUAAA